Oryctolagus cuniculus (rabbit) is the source of this 2860-nucleotide non-coding RNA. The record is from RefSeq and is a predicted model, not a curated record. Lineage: Eukaryota; Metazoa; Chordata; Mammalia; Lagomorpha; Leporidae.
CCCUCAGGGCGGGGCGCUUGAAGAGAGACCCAGGGAGGCCAGGUUCGCCGCCGCCGCCGCCGCCACCUCCACGCUGAGCACCAGGUGAGCGCCCGACAGCAACAGAAACUGAGCGGCUGCAGGAACGAAGGUGACGGCCUACGUUUAGUCCAGGAAGAAACUGCUUCUGAUGAGAGGUAAGUGAGCUGUCGGGGCAGCAGUGAAGUCGCCUCUUGGGGGGACACCCGCAUUGCACUUGGGAGCACCUGGUUCAAGUCCUGGCUCCUCCACUCCUGACCAACUUCCUGCUAAGGUGCACCCAGGAAGGCUGCUGCUGGGCUCCUGCUGUCCCCCUGGGAAACUCGGAAUGAGCUCCAGAUUCCUGGCGUCCAGCUGGCCCAGCCCUGGCUGUUGCAGGCAGUUGGGAAGUGAACCAGCAGAUGGACAAUCUCGCUCUGUCCCUCUGCCUUGCACAUGAAAUGAAAAUAUUGUUUAAAGUGACUUUCCAACCCGGUGCUCCGAGCCCUUGUCAGCUCUGCUUCAGGGGGAAGAGCCGGGACGACGAGGGGAUUUCAAAAAGUCCAGGUGGAGUUGAAAGAUAGUGUGGGGCCAGCAUGGUGGUGUGAUGAGUUAAAGCCACCGCCUGCGAUUCCAGCAUCCCGCAUGUGUGCCAGUUAAAGUCCUGGCUGCUCCACUUCCAUUCCAGCUCCCUGCUACUGCACCUGGGAAAGCAGCAGAGGAUGGCCCCAGUGCUUGGGCCGCUGCCGUCCGUGUGGGAGACCCGGAUGGAGUUCCUGGCCCCUGGCCUGGCCCAGCUUGACUGGUGAGGGAUUUGAGGAGGAACCAGCAGACAGGAGAUCUUUGUCUCUCCAUCUUCCUCUCUCUCUAUUGCUCACCUUUCAAAUAAACCAAUCUUUUUGAAAAAUACAUUGAAGUGUAAGGACAGGUGUUUGGUCUCGUGGUUAAGAUGUCUACCUCCCAUAUUCAGGUCUUGGUCCAAGUCCUGUUUCCAGCUCCUGGUUCUGUUAGCGGAGAUGAGUUGAACAGAGGUUCUCAUCUAUGCACAAGAAAGAAUCCACGCACGAGACAGAGCGGUGGUCAGCAAGGUUCGAUGGGGUAGGGCAUCCAUCAGAAUGGAUGGACACCUCCGGCCGGAAUCUGAGAGCAAGCGCCCAGCCAUCCAGCUGGGAGAGCAAGACAGGCCAGGAGUUUUAUCCCAACCACACGUUGUUGAGGGCUGAAGAAAAAACAUGACAGGCACAAGUAUCUUUAAAGUACAGAAAGGGACCAGAAAUAAUCUACUGGGUGUGUGAGUCCACCGUGUUGCUAUAAAGAAAUACUGGAUGAACUCCAUGGGCAGACUUUCAAGGUCGCUGGGACACAGAUAGUUAACUUCCCGCGUGGCACACGGAGCCCAGUGAAGAAGGACCCUGAGCGUGUCAAGUGGCCGAAGAUUCCGUGGGCUCUGACCCUGAGGGCCACCUGCCUGGCCGAUGAGGGCGCGUGUCGUAAAUUGUUAACUUCCAUAAACACCCAUUGAGGCGCCAUCCCGCCUGGUCAGGCCCACCUUACCACUGUGAACGGGGGUCUGCAUGGCUGCGUGUCCCCCUCCCAACGAACAGCAUAGGUAGGCUGCUGCCCACCGCCUGGUGGGCUGAGUCUCUCGGACUCCUGACUGCUGUCUGACCAUGCUUCUACCCUCCCCCCUUUCCUACUAUCCUGGUUUCAGUAAAACGCUCCUGCCUCAACCCGUUACCUCUUCGCCUUACUGGGGCAUAAAGGCCAGAGAACCUAGCACUCUGUGCAAGCUCCGGCUGCUGCACUUCAGAUCCAGCUCCCUACUGAUGCGCCUGGGCAGGCAGCAAAGAAUGGCUCAAUGCUUGGGCCCCUGCUCCCUGUGCCACCCACGUGGGAGACCCAGAUGGAGUUCCAGGCUCCUGGCUUCAGCCUGGCCCAGCCCCAGCCAUUGUGGCCAUUUAGGGAGUGAAUCAGAGGAUGGAAGAUCUUUCUCUCUCUCUCUAAUUUUGUCUUUCAAAUAAAUAAAUCUUAAGUAAAAGAAUCAGGAGAGAGAAAGAUAAUGUCAAAUCGCCAGGCAGGCAGGCUUUAGCUGGCGUGAUAAGAAGUCCAGUUGCUACCGUCUGCCCAUUGCAUGGUGGACCUGAGAGCAAAGUGUUGAUGCACAGGAAGCGAGUUAAUUCAGCUUCAGCAAACCCUGACGGUGGGGCGGUGUCCGAAAGAAACCAUCUUCCCCGCGAAGAGACAGGCAAAGGGGAGGGGCGUGGGGUCCAACGCCGUGAUUCGCCGCAGCCCUGAAACUCUGGCCUUGGGUAAUCGACAGGAGUCAGGGUCUGCUCCAGCCGCUCCUUACUGAGACGUCAGUAGGCCAGGCUCACCUGCUCACCUCCUGGGGGCUGGGGCAGGUUACCUGCCUCUGUGGAAACCUCAGCCUGUGGGAUCGCGGGAAUGACCGAGGCCACACGGUCUCAGCCUGCGCCCCGGGCGCUCUGCUUCCUGUUCUGUCUCCCCUGUUCUCGGCCCCAUCCGGCCUAGGAAGCCACCCCCUCUGUUAGGCUCAUCAGCACUGGGUCAGUUUUAUGGGGUGAGGCAUUGCCUCAUUCUAGAAUCGCAAAUAAAAGCCAGUUUUAUCUUUAAACAAGAUUUAUUGCAACUUUGCCUUUUGGAAAAACUCAUUAUCCGUGUUUAAAUAUGUACUUCGGGGUCAGCGCUGUGGCACAGAAGGUUAAUCCUCUGCCUGCAGUGCCAGGAUCCCAUAUAGGGGCCAGUUCCAGGCCUGGCUGCUCUACUUCCUGUCUCCAGCUCUCUGCUAUGGCCUGGGAAAGCAGUAGAAGAUGGCCCAAGUGCUUGGGCCCCUGCACCUGUG